AUUUAUAUAGUUUAAAUUAAAACAUUUCAUUUUCAAUGAAAUAAUAAGAACACCUUUAUAAAUA
RNAcentral lists this transfer RNA (64 nucleotides) under Molipteryx fuliginosa. RNAcentral's name for it is "tRNA-Glu". It matches the Rfam family "tRNA". From Rfam's summary of the family: Transfer RNA (tRNA) molecules are approximately 80 nucleotides in length. Their secondary structure includes four short double-helical elements and three loops (D, anti-codon, and T loops). RNAcentral also lists the same sequence under 2 other names. The record is from RNAcentral. Lineage: Eukaryota; Metazoa; Arthropoda; Insecta; Hemiptera; Coreidae.